This 164-nucleotide non-coding RNA is filed under the name unclassified sequences. The record is from Rfam.
UGAAAGUCUGUUGUACUGUUUCUUAUGCUUUCCCUAGAUAUCCAGAUAGGCGGGUACACGGAUGUACCCGCCAGUGAGACCACGCCAAGGACGGCGUGUUCGAACGGUAUCGUCCGGUAAAAACAUCUAUAUGGAAAGUAUUAGAAACAGUAAACAGGCUUUCU